This 253-nucleotide ribosomal RNA is filed under the name uncultured bacterium. RNAcentral describes it as "partial 16S ribosomal RNA". It matches the Rfam family "Bacterial small subunit ribosomal RNA", at positions 524 to 776 of the family's 1533-position model. The record is from RNAcentral.
GACAGAGGUGCCGAGCGUUAGGCGGAAUCACUGGGCUUAAGGCGUGUGUAGGCGGGUCGUUAAGUGUCUUGUGAAAUCCCACCGCUCAACGGUGGAACUGCUGGGCAUACUGGCGAUCUUGAGCCACCUAGGGGCAGACGGAACAAGCGGUGGAGCGGUGAAAUGCGUAGAUAUCGCUUGGAACGCCGACGGUGAAAACAGUCUGCUGGGGGUGUGCUGACGCUGAGACACGAAAGCCAGGGGAGCGAACGGG